GUGCCUUCGGGAACCGUGAGACAGGUGCUGCAUGGCUGUCGUCAGCUCGUGUUGUGAAAUGUUGGGUUAAGUCCCGCAACGAGCGCAACCCUUAUCCUUUGUUGCCAGCGAGUAAUGUCGGGAACUCAAAGGAGACUGCCGGUGAUAAACCGGAGGAAGGUGGGGAUGACGUCAAGUCAUCAUGGCCCUUACGGCCAGGGCUACACACGUGCUACAAUGGCGCAUACAAAGAGAAGCGACCUCGCGAGAGCAAGCGGACCUCAUAAAGUGCGUCGUAGUCCGGAUCGGAGUCUGCAACUCGACUCCGUGAAGUCGGAAUCGCUAGUAAUCGUAGAUCAGAAUGCUACGGUGAAUACGUUCCCGGGCCUUGUACACACCGCCCGUCACACCAUGGGAGUGGGUUGCAAAAGAAGUAGGUAGCUUAACCUUCGGGAGGGCGCUUACCACUUUGUGAUUCAUGACUGGGGUGAAGUCGUAACAAGGUAACCGUAGGG
Molecule: ribosomal RNA, 494 nt
Filed under: Erwinia sp. LPPA 500
Lineage: Bacteria; Pseudomonadati; Pseudomonadota; Gammaproteobacteria; Enterobacterales; Erwiniaceae
Description: bacterial SSU rRNA
Rfam family: Bacterial small subunit ribosomal RNA
Source: RNAcentral